CCUUCUUCACUGAAGCCUAGGGGAGCCAGUAAAGAUUAAAUGUGCUUCUCAAAGGCAGCCACUUCAUGCUGCUAUGUCGAAAGGGCCAUUAUUAUUAUUAUAUUUUAAUGGUAAAAGAGAAAAGGAGAGAGGUUGAGCGAGCGAGAGAGAAGCUAGGUGUGAUGAUGACAGACUAGCUUUUCUGAGAGGAAAAGGAAAAGGGAAGGGAGAGAAAAAGGAGAGCCUCUGAGCUCAACGGAGGAUUGUGCCUGAGAAGAACCCACAGAGAUACAGUUAAGCUAAUGAUCUCGAGAGGAUAUCGUCCUGGAUAAGGGUGGAGCCUACGCCCAAAAACAAGAUUACCUGAAAGAGAAAAGAAAGGGGGAAAACACACAGAGAUACAGUCGGGGAGGCCACAUGAAGAUGGAGGCAGAGACAGGAGUGAUGAGCCUGCAAGCCAAGGAAUGCCAAGGGCUGCCAGCAGCCAUGAGAAGCUGAGAGACACAGAGAACGAGUCCUCUGCCAGAGCCUCCAGAAGGAACUAACCCUGUCAAUACCUUGAUUUCGGACUUCUGGACUCCAGAACUAUAACCCUCCUUCCUCCACCUCACAAAAACUCACAAGCUGCAACCCUUCUGAUGUCCACUCCCACACAAACCAGCUUCAGGCCUUUUUCAAGUUCUAGAGGUCAGAAUUCUGACAUGGAUCUCACUGGGCUGAAAUCAAGCUGUUGGCAUGGCUCCAUUUCUUCUGGAAACUCUAGUGAGAAAUUCAUUUUCUUGCCCUUUUCAGCGUCUAGAGGCCACACCUUGUUCAGAAUUAAUAGAUCAUAUAGGUGUAAAUUUAUUUUCAACUUUCAGUUCUUGUCUGGUGGAAGAAGGUGGGUUAUCUGAAAUGAGACAGAGUAACACCAGAUGAGGUUGUGUUUGACUCAUAAUACACGGGUGGAUGUGGGUGAACUGAGCAGCUGGUAGAUGUUUGCGGUGUGUUUGUGUGGUUCAUUAAUCUAUUCGUUCAUCUUUACAGCAAUACCACACUUUUCCAAUUUCUAUACUUUUUUUGUUUUUAUGAUAUUGUAAAUGGUAUGUUUAUAGUUUCAUUUUUCAAGUUUUGAUUGCUAGUAUGCAGUAAAGCAAUUGACUUUUGUAUGUAAACAUUGUAUUCUGUGAUAAUACUAAAUCAGCUUAUUAGGAUUUUUUUAAAGACUCCUUAGAAUUUUCUAUAUAUUAUGUCACCAGUAAUUCAAAAGAGUUUUGCUCUUUUCUUUUCGGUCCUUAUGCAUUUUGUUUAUUUAUAUUGUCCUAUUUUACUGGCUGGGGACCUCUAGUACAAGGAUGAAUAAGAGUGCUAAGAAUGGACAUCCUUGCUUUGUUUCCUAAGGGAAAAGCAUUCAGUAUUUUAUAAUUAAAUAUAGUAUUAUUUCUAUUUGUAAAAAAUAAGUGGACUUUAUCAGAUUGAGAAAAUUUUCUUUUAUAUCUAAUUUUCUGGUGGUUACUAUUAUUGUUACUGCUA
RNAcentral lists this long non-coding RNA (1491 nucleotides) under Homo sapiens (human). Its description in RNAcentral is "mir-100-let-7a-2-mir-125b-1 cluster host gene". Lineage: Eukaryota; Metazoa; Chordata; Mammalia; Primates; Hominidae. The record is from RNAcentral.